AGCCCAGCCGGUGGAUGAACUGGAAGAUAGAAAGUGUGAAAGAGCUUUUUUCUCGUCGGCGCCGUCCUCCACAUUCAAGUGCACUUAUACAUGCAAAGGAUGGCCCAUCCGCUCUGAAAAUGAACCUGACGGUAUUCGCUGCGGGCUCAUUCGAAGAACAGGUGUCUGCAGAGGCGGAAAAUGCGUAAGCGCCGACGAUGCCAACAGACCGCCAAAUGACGCAACUCAAGUACCUUCGACAACAGAUAGCACCGAGCAGAGGUUUCCGACGGCUGCGCGUUUAGUGUUCGCAGGUAAUGUCACAUCUGACGUACCUUCUACCGAAGAUACGGUUAUUACAGCCCGUGCUACAACUAAGGAUGAGGAACUGGUAACCGAAAUGGCAACCGUAAGUGCGACGUUACUCGCAGCUGACCAACGGCCCACCGCAACACCCGGCACCAAUGAGCAGACAACGGCUGUAAACGAAGGAUUAAGCAGCGACGAUGUCAAGAGACCCCCAAAUGACACAAAUGGAGUAUCUUCCAUGCAAACUCGCACAGAACAGUGGGUUGCGACGACUGAAAGUUUAAUGCGUGAUGUUAAUGCCACAUUUCA
Long non-coding RNA from Dermacentor silvarum, 597 nucleotides. RefSeq lists it as uncharacterized. The record is from RefSeq and is a predicted model, not a curated record. NCBI's taxonomy places the organism in Eukaryota, Metazoa, Arthropoda, Arachnida, Ixodida, Ixodidae. The transcript has 3 exons.